AGUUAAAAACUCAAUGAAAGUAUUAUAUUUUGAAAAUAUAACAAAAAGGUUAAAAUCCUUUAUUAACUU
RNAcentral lists this transfer RNA (69 nucleotides) under Megaloblatta sp. ECMD1. RNAcentral describes it as "tRNA-Ser". Lineage: Eukaryota; Metazoa; Arthropoda; Insecta; Blattodea; Nyctiboridae. The record is from RNAcentral.